AUCCAGCUAACGAGUCCUAAAUAGGACGAAAUACGCAUCAAACUUGAU
Schistosoma mansoni is the source of this 48-nucleotide non-coding RNA. Lineage: Eukaryota; Metazoa; Platyhelminthes; Trematoda; Strigeidida; Schistosomatidae. The record is from Rfam.